RNA transcript from Zalophus californianus (California sea lion), 1517 nucleotides. It is a transcript of the gene named DNA-directed RNA polymerase III subunit RPC6-like, with no coding region annotated. The transcript has a single exon. The record is from RefSeq and is a predicted model, not a curated record. NCBI's taxonomy places the organism in Eukaryota, Metazoa, Chordata, Mammalia, Carnivora, Otariidae.
AUGGCUGAGGUGAAAGAGAAGGUACAGCCACCUGACACGGAUCCGGUCGAAAUAGAAAACAGGAUUAUAGAAUUAUGUCACCAGUUCCCUCAUGGAAUCACAGACCAAGUAAUUCAGAAUGAAAUGCCUCAUAUAGAAACCCAGUAGCAGGCAGUGGCCAUCAAUAGACGGCUGUCCAUGGGUCGGUUGGAUCUCUUAAGGAGCAAUACAGGACUUCUGUAUAGAAUAAAGGAUUGUCAGAAUGCUGGUAAAAUGAAAGGAUUAGAUAACCAAGAAAAACUAGUAUAUCAAAUCAUGGAGGAUGCAGGAAAUAAAGGAAUAUGGAGCAGAGAUAUCCGAUACAAAAGUAACUUGCCAUUAACAGAAAUUAACAAAAUUCUGAAGAAUUUGGAAAGUAAAAAGCUUAUCAAAGCUGUUAAGUUUGUGACAGCCUCAAAAAAGAAAGUAUAUAUGCUCUAUAACCUGCAACCGGACCAGUCAGUGACUGGUGGAGCCUAGUACAGUGACCAGGAUUUUGAAUCAGAAUUUGUAGAGGCGCUUAACUAACAGUGUUUUAAAUUCCUACAAACCAAGGCAGAAACAACCCGAGAAAGCAAACAGAAUCCAAUGAUAUAAAGAAAUAGUUCAUUUGCCUCAUCACAUGAAGUGUGGAAGUAUAUCUGUGAAUUGGGGAUCAGUAAGGUAGAGUUGUCCAUGGAGGACAUUGAAACGAUCUUAAAUACACUCAUUUAUGAUGGGAAAGUGGAGAUGACUAUCAUUGCUGCAAAAGAAGGCACGGUUGGCAGUGUAGACGGACACAUGAAACUGUACAGAGCAGUCGACCCAAUCAUCCCGCCCACGGGUUUGCUCCAAGCCCCGUGUGAACUCUGCCCGGUUUUUGAUGACUGCCAUGAAGGUGGUGAGAUUUCACCAUCUAACUGUAUUUAUAUGACAGAGUGGCUUGAAUUUUAAUAGAGAACUAGGAACUUUACUGACAUUUUGCAAAUGAAGUUACUUUGGGAGCAGAUAAUUUAACUCAUGAUGGAACAUCAAAUUCCCUUGAAAGCAAACUUCACAAUAAUGGAUAGACUUGCUGCUAUGAAAAAGUAUUUUUUUAACUAUGAAGACUAAAUUUAUAUUGGUAGAGUAGCCAACAGAAUAUGAAGCAGGUAAGGUUAAUAGUGAAAUCCAUUCUUCAAUAAAUAAAAUAUUUUGAACUUCAGGAAGACCACCUUCUGAAGCUUUCAAGACUUUUGAUGGUUCAUGGAAAAAGAAGCCAACAAAUCCAUAUUUACCACAUACUACAAUAAUGACUAAAGUUUAAAAAUGCCCAUUUUAAAGUUAUUUAUUAAGGUCUUCAUUGGAAAAUUUUAUAUCUGGUUCACUAUUUCCAUUUCUGUUUUCUCUUUUCUCAGUGGUUUCAUUGAGAAGGAAUCAAAAGCGGUGAGGCAGGAAUAGCACUUGGAGGCAUGAGUGGGGGAGAGAAUGGAACAUCCCUUUCCACACACUAUUCAUUCCUUUUUACAUUAGAAAUAUUC